This 500-nucleotide ribosomal RNA is filed under the name uncultured bacterium. Its description in RNAcentral is "partial 16S ribosomal RNA". It matches the Rfam family "Bacterial small subunit ribosomal RNA", at positions 30 to 523 of the family's 1533-position model. The record is from RNAcentral.
AUUGAACGCUGGCGGAAUGCUUUACACAUGCAAGUCGAACGGCAGCACGGACUUCGGUCUGGUGGCGAGUGGCGAACGGGUGAGUAAUGUAUCGGAACGUGCCCAGUCGUGGGGGAUAACGUAGUGAAAAUUACGCUAAUACCGCACACGAUCUAUGGAUGAAAGCGGGGGAUCGCAAGACCUCGCGCGAUUGGAGCGACCGAUAUCAGAUUAGGUAGUUGGUGGGGUAAAGGCCCACCAAGCCAACGAUCUGUAGCUGGUCUGAGAGGACGACCAGCCACACUGGAACUGAGACACGGUCCAGACUCCUACGGGAGGCGGCAGUGGGGAAUUUUGGACAAUGGGCGAAAGCCUGAUCCAGCCAUUCCGCGUGCAGGAUGAAGGCCCUCGGGCUGUAAACUGCUUUUGUACAGAACGAAAAGGUUUCUACUAAUACUAGGAGCUCAUGACGGUACUGUAAGAAUAAGCACCGGCUAACUACGUGCCAGCAGCCGCCGUAA